AGAGUUUGAUCCUGGCUCAGAGCGAACGUUAGCGGCGGGCCUAACACAUGCAAGUCGCACGAGAAUGGAGGCUUCGGCCUCCUAGUAAAGUGGCGCACGGGUGAGUAAUACGUAGGUAAUCUGCCCAUCGGUGGGGGACAACCAGCCGAAAGGUUGGCUAAUACCGCAUUCGUCGGCCGGGUCUGCGGAUCUGGUCGGGAAAGCUGGCCUCUAUUUAUAAGCUAGCGCCGAUGGAGGAGCCUGCGUCGCAUCAGCUAGUUGGUGGGGUAACGGCCCACCAAGGCUAAGACGCGUAGCUGGUCUGAGAGGAUGAUCAGCCACACUGGAACUGAGACACGGUCCAGACUCCUACGGGAGGCAGCAGUGGGGAAUAUUGCACAAUGGGCGCAAGCCUGAUGCAGCCAUGCCGCGUGUAUGAAGAAGGCCUUCGGGUUGUAAAGUACUUUCAGCGGGGAGGAAGGGAGUAAAGUUAAUACCUUUGCUCAUUGACGUUACCCGCAGAAGAAGCACCGGCUAACUCCGUGCCAGCAGCCGCGGUAAU
RNAcentral lists this ribosomal RNA (541 nucleotides) under uncultured Gammaproteobacteria bacterium. RNAcentral describes it as "bacterial SSU rRNA". It matches the Rfam family "Bacterial small subunit ribosomal RNA", at positions 8 to 524 of the family's 1533-position model. Lineage: Bacteria; Pseudomonadati; Pseudomonadota; Gammaproteobacteria. The record is from RNAcentral.